UGGGGGAUAUUGCGCAAUGGGGGAAACCCUGACGCAGCAACGCCGCGUGAAGGAAGAAGGUUUUCGGAUUGUAAACUUCUUUUGUUAAGGACGAAGAAAGUGACGGUACUUAACGAAUAAGCUCCGGCUAACUACGUGCCAGCAGCCGCGGUAAUACGUAGGGAGCGAGCGUUGUCCGGAUUUACUGGGUGUAAAGGGUGCGUAGGCGGCUAGGCAAGUCAGAUGUGAAAUGUAUGGGCUCAACCCAUAAGCUGCAUUUGAAACUGCUUGGCUUGAGUGAAGUAGAGGUAGGCGGAAUUCCCUGUGUAGCGGUGAAAUGCGUAGAGAUAGGGAGGAACACCAGUGGCGAAGGCGGCCUACUGGGCUUUAACUGACGCUGAGGCACGAAAGCGUGGGUAGCAAACAGG
Molecule: ribosomal RNA, 407 nt
Filed under: uncultured Ruminococcus sp.
Lineage: Bacteria; Bacillati; Bacillota; Clostridia; Eubacteriales; Oscillospiraceae
Description: bacterial SSU rRNA
Rfam family: Bacterial small subunit ribosomal RNA
Source: RNAcentral